Molecule: ribosomal RNA, 253 nt
Filed under: uncultured bacterium
Lineage: Bacteria
Description: partial 16S ribosomal RNA
Rfam family: Bacterial small subunit ribosomal RNA
Source: RNAcentral
UACGUAGGUGGCGAGCGUUGUCCGGAUUUACUGGGCGUAAAGAGCGCGCAGGCGGCUGGUCAAGUCCGAUGUGAAAGCUCCCGGCUUAACUGGGAAAUUGCAUCGGAAACUGAUCGGCUGGAAGGUGGGAGAGGGUAGCGGAAUUCCCGGUGUAGUGGUGAAAUUCGUAGAUAUUGGGAAGAACACCGGUGGCGAAGGCGGCGACCUGGUCCGUGACUGACGCUGAGGCGCGAAAGCGUGGGGAGCAAACAGG